Molecule: ribosomal RNA, 508 nt
Filed under: uncultured bacterium
Lineage: Bacteria
Description: partial 16S ribosomal RNA
Rfam family: Bacterial small subunit ribosomal RNA
Source: RNAcentral
GACGAACGCUGGCGGCGUGCCUAAUACAUGCAAGUCGAACGCUUCUUUCCUCCCGAGUGCUUGCACUCAAUUGGAAAGAGGAGUGGCGGACGGGUGAGUAACACGUGGGUAACCUACCCAUCAGAGGGGGAUAACACUUGGAAACAGGUGCUAAUACCGCAUAACAGUUUAUGCCGCAUGGCAUAAGAGUGAAAGGCGCUUUCGGGUGUCGCUGAUGGAUGGACCCGCGGUGCAUUAGCUAGUUGGUGAGGUAACGGCUCACCAAGGCCACGAUGCAUAGCCGACCUGAGAGGGUGAUCGGCCACACUGGGACUGAGACACGGCCCAGACUCCUACGGGAGGCAGCAGUAGGGAAUCUUCGGCAAUGGACGAAAGUCUGACCGAGCAACGCCGCGUGAGUGAAGAAGGUUUUCGGAUCGUAAAACUCUGUUGCUAGAGAAGAACAAGGACGUUAGUAACUGAACGUCCCCUGACGGUAUCUAACCAGAAAGCCACGGCUAACUACGUG